UGGCRGUUCCUGAGAGCCCGGAGUCAGGAAAUUUGAAGGAUGCCUUCUUUUGCCUCCCUCUCCAUGAAGCCAGCCAGAAAAUAUUCGCUUUUGAAUGGGAAAGCCCUAAAAGCGGGCGUAAAACCCAGCUCACCUGGACAGUGUUGCCUCAAGGGUUCAAGAAUAGUCCUACCAUAUUUGGAGAUCAACUUGCCAAGGACUUAAGAAUCCUGGGAGGUCCCAGCAUCAGAAAGAAAACUGUUGCAGUAUGUGGAUGACCUCUUGAUAGCUACCAAGACUGAAGAGGCCUGUCUUACCUGGACGGUAAAUCUGCUAAAUUUCCUAGGACUGCAGGGAUACCAGGUUUCCAAGAAAAAGGCCCAAGUAAUGAAAAAAUAAA
This is a long non-coding RNA of Malurus melanocephalus (red-backed fairy wren), 379 nucleotides long. RefSeq lists it as uncharacterized. The record is from RefSeq and is a predicted model, not a curated record. NCBI's taxonomy places the organism in Eukaryota, Metazoa, Chordata, Aves, Passeriformes, Maluridae. The transcript has 2 exons.